Non-coding RNA from Phalacrocorax carbo (great cormorant), 995 nucleotides. NCBI's taxonomy places the organism in Eukaryota, Metazoa, Chordata, Aves, Suliformes, Phalacrocoracidae. The record is from RefSeq and is a predicted model, not a curated record.
CUGGCGGCGGCGGUGGCAGCGAGCCCAGAGCGGGGCCGGCGGUGCUCCGUGGCCGCCAGGUGCCCUCCCACAUCUGCGGCGGGUGCGGCGUGUCUGAGGGCCGCCCGCCCGGCGUGCGGCCGUGCAGCUCGGCAAAACCCGGUUCCGCAUGCUCUGCCCGGCUGCUGCCGUCGGCAGUUACCUCUGAGCCGAGGCCUCCCUGCUGGCUGCAAGCGCUAAGCCUGGGUUUAGCUCCCCUUCCCCAGCGGCCCCAGGUGCCGGUGGGGCCGGCAGCGGUGCCCGCCCGCAGUCGGCGUUCCUGACGCUUUGCAGCGCGGACAUGACAGCAAGGGCAUGUUUUUGUGUAAGGCAUUUCGGUUCAAUCCGGGUGGGGACGGCAGUGUUGCAGGACCACAUUUUUGGGCAAACCACCAGUGAUGAUAAGCCUCAGUGUUGCAUUACAUAAGUAAGCUUGCCCCCAGCCCACUCCCUGCUCCCCAGGAGAUCCAGGGCUGCUCUCAAUCCACUCAUCACCCAGCCUAUAUCCAUGUUUGGGAUUGUCCCGACCCAGGUGCAGGCCUUGUUGAACUUCAUAGGAAUCUGGUAUGGGCCACCAGCAGCAGAUUUGGAUACGGAGGGAGAUAUCCAAUGGUGGAUAAAACUACUCUGAGGAGUUCAUGUCAUUACAUGAGAUCAGAAUUUAGGCAUUUGAAUCUCAGGGAGUGGAAAACGAUAUUAAAGAGAUGCAAAAUUUCAACAGUCUGAAUUUUUUUGAUUAAAUAAUGGGCAAAAAUUUUAGAAAGAAGGUUCCAAAAUAAUUGUACAAAUAUCUAGUAUACAAUGUGUGUUAGCAUUAAAAUAAAGAUUCUGAGAGAACUGGAAAAAAAGGAACUGAUUGGUGUAAUGAACUGUGUCUUGUGAAUCAGAAGCAUAUGUUAAACGGGUAAAAAAAUAACACUCAAGAUUUUCUACCUUCAGGUAAAAACUAAAGUAGCAACCAAUGAAGGUGAGACAGA